Tachysurus fulvidraco (yellow catfish) is the source of this 2113-nucleotide long non-coding RNA. RefSeq lists it as uncharacterized. The record is from RefSeq and is a predicted model, not a curated record. Lineage: Eukaryota; Metazoa; Chordata; Actinopteri; Siluriformes; Bagridae. The transcript is spliced from 4 exons.
GCAAACCAACCGCUGAGGUCUCUGGUAUCGGGAACCACUCAACCACAUAGCUGGACUCUGAUUGGUUCACCAGCGCUUUCCAUUCCACCUUCAGCUGGAAGUCAUCCAAAGCAUUGACGCUGAUGCUUUCAGGAGGUAUGUAUAUGUGAGCCGAUGGUGACGUCCCAGCCGAGUUAGACGCAGUCAAGUUGCAGUUACAGGCGUGAGCAGUGACAGAAAGGACACAAGAUGUGCUGUACGAAUCCAGAUGACCGCAGUCCCAGUAGGAUGAGUCAGGCUCAUUCUGGCACGAUGCAGCAUAGCGCAGGAUUACACCAUUAGCGUUUGGCCACUGGAGGGGCUGAACAGAAGAGAAUUUCCAGAUAAAGGACGGGACACGUAAGGAGACAGAGUGAAAUAUAGGUGAAUGUGUGAGUGUUCGGUGAUGAUAUAAAUAAUAAAAAUGAUCUUACUUUGAAUGAAACUAUAAACAGUUUAUAAACUAUAAACUUAUUUUUUUUGCCAAAUAAGCUGUGGUAUCACAGCACAACAUACUGGACCAUGCUGAUACAUGUCAUAGAUUGUUUUGUGUAAUAGCAGUUUGUUCUUUGUGUUAUUCUUUACAUAGUAACCUAUUCUUUAUGAAUAUGCCAUAUGUAUAUAUUUAGCACAGGUUUAUUAUUCAUAUCUAUUCAUUCAAAUUUUAGUUUUGAUCUAUCAGCGUAAAAUUCUCAAAGCCAAUCAAACCGAAUUCAAUUCUAAUUAUAUAAUUAUUCUUUUACUGAAUGUGUGUUUUUAAAUUAUUAUUAUUUUUUUUUAGAAAACACUCUGAAUAAGGAUCUAUGCAGAAAAACAGGAAAGAAGACAAUAAAAGAGGAAGGGAUGUGGUCACUGUAUUAUGAAACAAACCACAGUGUAGAAAUGAAUUAAAAGAAAUAAAAGCACUUAUAAAGAAAGGAUAAGAGCAAACAUUAUUAUAAACAUUAUGCUUAUCAUAUCUGCUACAAUCCCUAUUGAUACUUAAAGUUAGUCAUAAACAAACAAACAAACAAACAAAUAAGUAAUAAAAAAACAACACACUGAUGCAGAAAGCAUAGGAGUUAACAUUCAUUUAUACGAUAUCCUAAUCAAAUCUACCGAUUAUUUCUACUGAUAUAGAAACCUAGUCGUCUUUUUUUUUUUUAAAUAAAAAAAAAUUAAUCCCUGUUAAUCUUUGUUCAGUUUGUUACAUUCCUACAAUCUUCAUGUGACCAGGCCAUGACUCUGAAACCAAGAAACUGUUAUUUUGUUUUUUUUGCAGAAAUGACGAUAAUGCAGUUUCUGCACCCCACAUAAACUGUUACACAACGUGGGGCCUUGUUUCCUGAUGUGACUGAGCAUUUAUAAUAAUGCCAAUUAUCAACACAGAUUAAUGAAAUACAACUCUGCACCCGGCCUCAUUAAAACACUUAUUAUAUGAGAAUGGAGGUGUUAUUAUUCAUGGGAGGCCCUAAAGAGAUGAGGCAACUGCACAGCAAGGUGACACGUCUCUUUCCGCUCCUGUCUACCUGCUGGAUGUGUCUCCAAAGCUCUGGGGCAGCCACUGGUGCUGAGAGAUCCAGACAAACACACGGCUUAUCGGUAUCUCUCUUUAAUCCACACCGCACACCUGACUUGAUCUCUGUAUCACUCUAUCUGUUCCUCACCUGUCUCUGCUGUGAUGGCCUCUGCAAAUCCACUCCAGGAGCUCCAGUGAUGCUGCGCUCUCAAGUCCUGAGCGCGAACCCUGACCAAGUGCUUCGUUCCUGGAUAUAAGCCACACAUGUUCGUCCACCAGUCAUGAAGAAAAGCAGUCACUUUGGAGACAUGGGCCUGAAAUGAACAGCAUAGUUUAGGACUCUUAUAAACACUCUUGUUUGAUGUUUCCUUUUUUUGUAUAUAAGUAGGAGGCAUUGAAUAGAUAAAGAAACAGCAAUGAGGGAGUUUUACCUAUGUCAAUAUAUUCAUCACGAUUGAGUAUGUGCUCGUUUUUUGGUCCGUGACUUAUGGGAUAAAUGUUUUAAUUCAUCUCUAAGUUGAUAAGCAAUAAAUAUUAUUUGAUGGUUUGACUCGGGUGAGAAUUAAAACGGAAUAACUCCAGCCUUUUUCAGAAGAA